Triticum aestivum (bread wheat) is the source of this 115-nucleotide non-coding RNA. The record is from Rfam. Lineage: Eukaryota; Viridiplantae; Streptophyta; Magnoliopsida; Poales; Poaceae.
AUACUACUCCCUCCGUUCGGAAUUACUUGUCUCGGAAAUGGAUGUAUCUAAAACUAAAAUACGUCUAGAUACAUCCAUUUUUGCGACAAGUAAUUCCGAACGGCGGGAGUAGUUA